UGGGGAAUUUUUCGCAAUGGGGGAAACCCUGACGAAGCAACGCCGCGUGGAGGAUGAAGGCCUUCGGGUCGUAAACUCCUGUCGACCGGGACGAAAGUAGUCUGGCCCAAUACGCCGGGCUAUCGACUGUACCGGUGGAGGAAGCCACGGCUAACUCUGUGCCAGCAGCCGCGGUAAUACAGAGGUGGCAAGCGUUGUUCGGAAUUACUGGGCGUAAAGGGCGCGUAGGCGGUCCUGUAAGUCCUGUGUGAAAUCCCCCGGCUCAACUGGGGAAUUGCACGGGAAACUGCGGGGCUUGAGUUCGGGAGAGGGAAGCGGAAUUCCGGGUGUAGCGGUGAAAUGCGUAGAUAUCCGGAGGAACACCGGUGGCGAAGGCGGCUUCCUGGACCGACACUGACGCUGAGGCGCGAAAGCUAGGGGAGCAAACGGGAUUAGAUACCCCCGUAGUCC
Molecule: ribosomal RNA, 450 nt
Filed under: uncultured bacterium
Lineage: Bacteria
Description: bacterial SSU rRNA
Rfam family: Bacterial small subunit ribosomal RNA
Source: RNAcentral